GCAGCUGUCCGCCCUCGGCCGGCCAACGUGCCCCAUGAGAGAGGGGCGCGCCCAGCCCGAACUCCGCGCGGCGCCCUGCGCGGGCCCUGGAAAAGGAAGUGAGGCGGCCAAGCGGGCCAGGAAAUUGUUUUCCUGUUCUCCUGGCGCGCGUUAUCAUCCUCGCACACGGAGCCAGAAGACACAAAGGGGAGUUUGCUCUUUAACUCUCGGCCAACAGCCGCCGAUCAGAUUCUGUUUCAUUUUCCUCCCCUUCGUCUGCGCUCGCUAUGAUCCAGUUCCUUGGCGCAGGGAGCGGGGAGACGCCUUUGUUCGGCUGACAAAGACCGGAAAGCUCGCCAGCGGGGUCGUCGCAGGAAAACAAAAGGUUUUGCUGUAGUUCAUUCCAUGACAUUGCGACCCAAAUGCCGACCAGUGGAGGCUCAGGAACCUGCCCGGCUGUGGCCUGGAGCGUGGCUUUGGUGCCCAGCAGAUCUGGUCUGGAGCCCAGCCCUCCUGCUCACCAGCUGUGUGGCCUUGGACGGAAGCAGCGGUUUCUGAACUGGCCCACAGAGAAACGGGCCCGUUCCUGCACCUCCUUAGUGGACCCUCGAGGUGGCGCUGGUGAACGGGACAGCAUCUCUGUGAGUGAGAGGGGGACUCUACUUCCUGGGGUCAUAUGCCUCCUCC
This is a long non-coding RNA of Equus caballus (horse), 666 nucleotides long. RefSeq lists it as uncharacterized. NCBI's taxonomy places the organism in Eukaryota, Metazoa, Chordata, Mammalia, Perissodactyla, Equidae. The record is from RefSeq and is a predicted model, not a curated record.